This 465-nucleotide ribosomal RNA is filed under the name uncultured bacterium. RNAcentral's name for it is "partial 16S ribosomal RNA". It matches the Rfam family "Bacterial small subunit ribosomal RNA", at positions 28 to 507 of the family's 1533-position model. The record is from RNAcentral.
GACGAACGCUGGCGGCGUGCUUAACACAUGCAAGUCGUACGGUAAGGCCCUUUCGGGGGUACACGAGUGGCGAACGGGUGAGUAACACGUGAGUAACCUGCCCACAACUUUGGGAUAACGCUAGGAAACUGGUGCUAAUACUGGAUAUGUGCUCCUGCUGCAUGGUGGGGGUUGGAAAGCUCCGGCGGUUGUGGAUGGACUCGCGGCCUAUCAGCUUGUUGGUGGGGUAGUGGCCUACCAGGGCGGCGACGGGUAGCCGGCCUGAGAGGGUGACCGGCCACAUUGGGACUGAGAUACGGCCCAGACUCCUACGGGAGGCAGCAGUGGGGAAUAUUGCACAAUGGGCGCAAGCCUGAUGCAGCAACGCCGCGUGCGGGAUGACGGCCUUCGGGUUGUAAACCGCUUUCAGCAGGGACGAAGCUUUUUGUGACGGUACCUGCAGAAGAAGCACCGGCUAACUACGUG